CAGCACGAGUACUUGUACUUGGUGGCGACCGGCGCACGGGUGCGUAACGCGUAUGCAACCUACCUUAUACAGAGGGAUAGCCCAGAGAAAUUUGGAUUAAUACCUCAUAGUAUCAUUUGAAGGCAUCUGAGAAUGAUUAAAGAUUUAUCGGUAUAAGAUGGGCAUGCGUAAGAUUAGUUAGUUGGUGAGGUAACGGCUCACCAAGACUUCGAUCUUUAGGGGUUCUGAGAGGAUGAUCCCCCACACUGGUACUGAGAUACGGACCAGACUUCUACGGGAGGCAGCAGUAGGGAAUAUUGGUCAAUGGGCGAGAGCCUGAACCAGCCAUGCCGCGUGCAGGAAGACGGCCUUCUGGGUUGUAAACUGCUUUUAUAUGGGAAGAAAACGGCCUUGCGAGGCAGAUUGACGGUACCAUAUGAAUAAGCACCGGCUAACUCCGUGCCAGCAGCCGCGGUAAUACGGAGGGUGCAAGCGUUGUCCGGAUUUAUUGGGUUUAAAGGGUACGUAGGCGGCCAAUUAAGUCAGUGGUGAAAGCCAGCAGCUCAACUGUUGAACUGCCAUUGAUACUGAUUGGCUCGAGUUCUGUUAAGGUAGGCGGAAUUGAUGGUGUAGCGGUGAAAUGCAUAGAUACCAUCAGGAACACCGAUUGCGAAGGCAGCUUACUAGGCAGAAACUGACGCUAAUGUACGAAAGCGUGGGGAUCGAACAGGAUUAGAUACCCUGGUAGUCCACGCCGUAAACGAUGCUCACUCGCUGUUGGCGAUACACAGUCAGCGGCCAAGCGAAAGCG
RNAcentral lists this ribosomal RNA (790 nucleotides) under Bacteroidetes bacterium SCGC AAA160-L18. RNAcentral's name for it is "bacterial SSU rRNA". It matches the Rfam family "Bacterial small subunit ribosomal RNA", at positions 70 to 859 of the family's 1533-position model. The record is from RNAcentral. Lineage: Bacteria; Pseudomonadati; Bacteroidota.